This 207-nucleotide ribosomal RNA is filed under the name uncultured bacterium. RNAcentral describes it as "partial 16S ribosomal RNA". It matches the Rfam family "Bacterial small subunit ribosomal RNA", at positions 568 to 774 of the family's 1533-position model. The record is from RNAcentral.
CACGUAGGCGGCCAUUCAAGUCAGAGGUGAAAGCCCGGGGCUCAACCCCGGAACUGCCUUUGAAACUAGAUGGCUUGAAUCUUGGAGAGGCGAGUGGAAUUCCGAGUGUAGAGGUGAAAUUCGUAGAUAUUCGGAAGAACACCAGUGGCGAAGGCGACUCGCUAGACAAGUAUUGACGCUGAGGUGCGAAAGCGUGGGGAGCAAACA